Molecule: long non-coding RNA, 227 nt
Filed under: Capsicum annuum
Lineage: Eukaryota; Viridiplantae; Streptophyta; Magnoliopsida; Solanales; Solanaceae
Description: long non-coding RNA (CANN_LNC008234)
Source: RNAcentral
UGGGAGAUGAUGAUUUAAUUAACCUGGCUAAUAGGAGGCGUGCAGCGGGAGUAGUUGCACCUGUAAAUCAAAAUCGUCUAUUCAGAGGAAAACUAGACCGCCAAGCUGUGCAGUUUGAUAUUAACAUUGAUGAUGACGAUUUGGACAGAGAUGGAGCUAUAGGGGAAAUCAUUCUACUACCACUAGCUCCUGGGGUGAAAUUCAACAUUACCAGUACUAUGAUCCAG